UAAGGAAUAUUGGUCAAUGGACGCAAGUCUGAACCAGCCAUGCCGCGUGGAGGAUGAAGGCCCUCUGGGUUGUAAACUUCUUUUAUCUGGGAAGAAACCUACGAUUUCUAUUGUAGCCGACGGUACCAGAUGAAUAAGCACCGGCUAACUCCGUGCCAGCAGCCGCGGUAAUACGGAGGGUGCAAGCGUUAUCCGGAUUCACUGGGUUUAAAGGGUGCGUAGGUGGGUCUGUAAGUCAGUGGUGAAAUCUCCGGGCUUAACUCAGAAACUGCCGUUGAUACUAUAGAUCUUGAAUAUCGCGUAGGUAAGCGGAAUAUGUCAUGUAGCGGUGAAAUGCUUAGAUAUGACAUAGAACACCAAUUGCGAAGGCAGCUUACUUCACGAUCAUUGACACUGAGGCACGAAAGCGUGGGGAGCAAACAG
Molecule: ribosomal RNA, 423 nt
Filed under: uncultured bacterium
Lineage: Bacteria
Description: bacterial SSU rRNA
Rfam family: Bacterial small subunit ribosomal RNA
Source: RNAcentral